AAGGAAACAUAGAAUCAUCAUCUUCAGUUUUGAAAGACUUAGUUAGGUUUUUCUAAUUUGAAAAACUUAGUUAAGUUUUUCUCAUUUCUUUUAUUUUUUGGUAUCCUGGGCCUAUAGCUCAGUUGGUUAGAGCACACGCCUGAUAAGCGUGAGGUCGGUGGUUCAAGUCCAUUUAGGCCCACCAAACGUUUUGCUAAAAAAAACGUGUUAUCAAAAAAAAGUUCUUUGAAAAGUAGAUAAACAAGAAAACAAUAGCCAUUUUUAAAGG
Molecule: unclassified non-coding RNA, 268 nt
Filed under: Sesame phyllody phytoplasma 'sarvestan'
Lineage: Bacteria; Bacillati; Mycoplasmatota; Mollicutes; Acholeplasmatales; Acholeplasmataceae
Description: 16S-23S ribosomal RNA intergenic spacer
Rfam family: tRNA (bases 108-181)
Source: RNAcentral